This 425-nucleotide ribosomal RNA is filed under the name uncultured bacterium. RNAcentral describes it as "partial 16S ribosomal RNA". It matches the Rfam family "Bacterial small subunit ribosomal RNA", at positions 354 to 796 of the family's 1533-position model. The record is from RNAcentral.
GUUAGGAAUAUUGGACAAUGGACGAAAGCCUGAUCCAGCCAUGCCGCGUGAACGAUGAAGGCCUUCGGGUUGUAAAGUUCUUUAGCCGAUGAUUAUAAUGACUGUAGUCGGAAAAUAAGCCCCGGCUAACUUCGUGCCAGCAGCCGCGGUAAUACGAAGGGGGCGAGCGUUAUUCGGAAUCACUGGGCGUAAAGCGUGCGUAGGCGGUUUUGUAAGUUAGGAGUGAAAGCCCAGGGCUCAACCUUGGAAUUGCUCUUAAAACUGCAAGGCUCGAAUCUCGGAGAGGAUAGCGGAAUUUCCAGUGUAGCAGUGAAAUGCGUAGAUAUUGGAAGGAACACCAGUGGCGUAAGCGGCUAUCUGGACGAGUAUUGACGCUGAGGCACGAAAGCGUGGGGAUCAAACAGGAUUAGAUACCCUAGUAGUCC